AAUUGAUAGGUACAUGUUUUCAUAAUUCAGUUUUUGAUUGACGUCUUUCCAUAAAUACCUUCUCAGUACAUAAAAGUAAAUUUUGUUUUUGUACAUUAAUAUGACCCAUAUACGUCUUUUUAAAUCUUCGUUUUAUAUUCAUUCAUUAUUUCUUACUAUUCUUACAUAUACAAACUUGGCACUGCUAGUGUUUGGAUUAUUUCUUCAAUUGAGAAACCUGACUUAUUAAAAAUAAGGCUUAUUUACAAUGAACCGAUGGGCGGAGUAAGUCCUAAGUACAGUAAGGUAAAAGAAACAGGACUAUAAGAGGUAAAACAUGGAGAGGAUAUUGACAUUUUGGUUGCUCCGAUAUAGCCGAACAAAACGUUAUGAAUGAUUCAUCAAUUUUUCCCUGGAAAUUUGUGUUGGUGCUGUUAAUCAUGUGUGGUGGGAGUUUUUCUUGCAAACGAAAAUUUAUCAGAGAAGUCAUUGAAAGGGAAAAUUGUCUCGAAAGAAGAGUUUUGAACUUUAUUUGUACCGGAAGUUGUCAUCAAAGAGGAAGUGAGCACUCUCAGUGCAGUAUUACAAUUGUAAGACAGAAAACAGUGCGCCUGUGGUGUACCAAUGAACAUGGAAGCAUUGUUCGCAAAAAUGUAACUAUACCUAUUCCAGCAUCUUGCUCAUGCACACAAAGGUCUUUGGAUUAUGUAUACAUGCCAAUAGCGAGAUAGCAAUGAUAUUCAAAUUGUAACACCAUAAGAUAUAUUCCCUUGUGCCAAAUACAAAGAAUUAUACCUGGACAGCUGCAAUAUCUAUUUAUUUAUUUAUUUAUUUGACAUCACAACCAACACCAUUUUUAAUUCAAAACAUUAUUUUCAUUCAUCAGAUGUGACAAGUUACAUAUUUAUACUAGUAUCAUAUCAAAACAGUGGACUCAACAAAAUUUCGCUGGAAUCUACAAUGCCGUUACAGAAGUGACCAACAUUAAAGCCAUUAGAAAUAAAAAAAAAACAUGGUCGGAUUUACUGACGGACAACCAGUCAGGUUGUUUGUACUGUUGUAAAGCCGUAAAAGAAAAGUUCACUAAAAAGGUGGAACCAGUACUGUUUUCAAUAAACAGUUAUUGUUGUUUUA
Mytilus californianus (California mussel) is the source of this 1113-nucleotide long non-coding RNA. RefSeq lists it as uncharacterized. The record is from RefSeq and is a predicted model, not a curated record. NCBI's taxonomy places the organism in Eukaryota, Metazoa, Mollusca, Bivalvia, Mytilida, Mytilidae. The transcript has 2 exons.